Molecule: long non-coding RNA, 329 nt
Organism: Ictalurus punctatus (channel catfish)
Lineage: Eukaryota; Metazoa; Chordata; Actinopteri; Siluriformes; Ictaluridae
Source: Ensembl
AAAUGCAGCUGGCCAUGUAGCUGAGAAAGUGCAAGGUCCUCCACCCUGAAGGCUUUCCUCCUGGUGGAAAUCUUAAAGGACCAGCUUUACUUCAACAAUACUGACACUGAUUGAAGACUACGUUCACAAAGGCUGAACAUCUUACAGAUAACUUCACCAGAGCAACAUUUAUACAUUUUUCUUUGCAUCUUGGAGAACCUGCCACAGAUCUUCUAGAGACUAUGACUCAUAAUUGCUUCUGUUUCUGCAGACACUAAAGAAACUGUCUGGAUGCCUAUAUAAGCUGUCGACUUGAAAUUUCUGUUUCCCCAAGUACCAAGAACACUGAA